CUGCAAACUAGAUCACUAGCUCUGCAUGAUGUUGCAGUUGCAAGGGGAACACGUUUGCAACAUUAAUCUGCCGAAGGUAUAUUUAAGCCUUAAAAUCUUGUCUUUUGGGCUAUAUAAUACCUUCUCCGACAAUA
This is a small nucleolar RNA of Hyla sarda, 134 nucleotides long. The record is from RefSeq and is a predicted model, not a curated record. Lineage: Eukaryota; Metazoa; Chordata; Amphibia; Anura; Hylidae.